This 45-nucleotide non-coding RNA is filed under the name Schistosoma margrebowiei. Lineage: Eukaryota; Metazoa; Platyhelminthes; Trematoda; Strigeidida; Schistosomatidae. The record is from RNAcentral.
AUCCUAUUGACGAGUCCCAAAUAGGACGAAACGCGCGUCCUGGAU